RNAcentral lists this ribosomal RNA (426 nucleotides) under uncultured bacterium. Its description in RNAcentral is "bacterial SSU rRNA". It matches the Rfam family "Bacterial small subunit ribosomal RNA", at positions 355 to 796 of the family's 1533-position model. The record is from RNAcentral.
UGGGGAAUAUUGGACAAUGGGCGAAAGCCUGAUCCAGCAAUACCGAGUGAGUGAUGAAGGCCUUAGGGUUGUAAAGCUCUUUUCAGCAGGGAAGAUAAUGACGGUACCUGACCAAGAAAGCCCCGGCUAACUCCGUGCCAGCAGCCGCGGUAAGACGGAGGGGGCUAGCGUUGUUCGGAAUUACUGGGCGUAAAGAGUGCGUAGGCGGUUUAGUAAGUUGGAAGUGAAAGCCCGAGGCUUAACCUCGGAACUGCUUUCAAAACUACUAAUCUAGAGUGUAGUAGGGGAUGAUGGAAUUCCUAGUGUAGAGGUGAAAUUCUUAGAUAUUAGGAGGAACACCGGUGGCGAAGGCGGUCAUCUGGGCUACAACUGACGCUGAUGCACGAAAGCGUGGGGAGCAAACAGGAUUAGAUACCCGCGUAGUCC